AGCUUGCUAAGUAUGCCGGCGACCGGCGCACGGGUGAGUAACGCGUACCGAACCUGCCCAUCACACAGGGAUAGGCUUGCGAAAGCAAGAUUAAUACCUGAUGGUCUCAAUUUUAUGCAUGUAUGAUUGAGUAAAGCCUUCGGGCGGUGAUGGAUGGCGGUGCGUCCCAUUAGGAAGUUGGCGGGGUAACGGCCCACCAAUCCUUCGAUGGGUAGGGGUUCUGAGAGGAAGGUCCCCCACAUUGGAACUGAGAUACGGUCCAAACUCCUACGGGAGGCAGCAGUGAGGAAUAUUGGUCAAUGGGCGAGAGCCUGAACCAGCCAAGUAGCGUGCGGGAUGAAGGCCCUUGUGGUCGUAAACCGCUUUUAUCAGUGAAUAAAGUGCAUCACGUGUGGUGUCAUUGCAGGUAGCUGAAGAAAAAGGACCGGCUAAUUCCGUGCCAGCAGCCGCGGUAAUACGGAAGGUCCGGGCGUUAUCCGGAAUUAUUGGGUUUAAAGGGAGCGCAGGCGGGAGUAUAAGUCAGCUGUUAAAUAUCAGAGCCCAACUCUGUUAUGCAGUUGAAACUAUAUUUCUUGAGUACGCACAGGGAUGGCGGAAUUCAGGGUGUAGCGGUGAAAUGCUUAGAUAUCCUGAAGAACUCCGAUCGCGAAGGCAGCCAUCCGGAGCGUAACUGACGCUGAGG
Molecule: ribosomal RNA, 682 nt
Filed under: uncultured Bacteroidales bacterium
Lineage: Bacteria; Pseudomonadati; Bacteroidota; Bacteroidia; Bacteroidales
Description: bacterial SSU rRNA
Rfam family: Bacterial small subunit ribosomal RNA
Source: RNAcentral